RNAcentral lists this unclassified non-coding RNA (166 nucleotides) under uncultured fungus. RNAcentral describes it as "sequence contains ITS1, 5.8S rRNA gene". Lineage: Eukaryota; Fungi. The record is from RNAcentral.
CCGAGUUUUGGGACCCUUUGGGUACCAGCUCCCACCAUUUGUGAACCUUUUUCGUUGCCUCGGCGGACCGACGGUCCCCGUCCCUCGGCGUAAGCUGGGGAGCGUCCGCCGAUGGAUUUUCAAACCCGUCUUAACCAUGAAAUCUGAGUCAAAACAAAUAAAAACA